This 720-nucleotide ribosomal RNA is filed under the name Acinetobacter sp. TUB5. RNAcentral's name for it is "bacterial SSU rRNA". It matches the Rfam family "Bacterial small subunit ribosomal RNA", at positions 69 to 782 of the family's 1533-position model. The record is from RNAcentral. Lineage: Bacteria; Pseudomonadati; Pseudomonadota; Gammaproteobacteria; Moraxellales; Moraxellaceae.
GGGAGGUUGCUUCGGUAACUGACCUUGCGGCGGACGGGUGAGUAAUACUUAGGAAUCUGCCUAUUAAUGGGGGACAACAUCUCGGAAGGGAUGCUAAUACCGCAUACGCCCUACGGGGGAAAGCAGGGGAUCACUGGUGACCUUGCGUUAAUAGAUGAGCCUAAGUCGGAUUAGCUAGUUGGUGGGGUAAAGGCCUACCAAGGCGACGAUCUGUAGCGGGUCUGAGAGGAUGAUCCGCCACACUGGGACUGAGACACGGCCCAGACUCCUACGGGAGGCAGCAGUGGGGAAUAUUGGACAAUGGGGGGAACCCUGAUCCAGCCAUGCCGCGUGUGUGAAGAAGGCCUUAUGGUUGUAAAGCACUUUAAGCGAGGAGGAGGCUCUCUUGGUUAAUACCCAAGAUGAGUUGACGUUACUCGCAGAAUAAGCACCGGCUAACUCUGUGUCAGCAGCCGCGGUAAUACAGAGGGUGCGAGCGUUAAUCGAAUUUACUGGGCGUAAAGCGUGCGUAGGCGGCUUUUUAAGUCGGAUGUGAGAUCCCCGAGCUUAACUUGGGAAUUGCAUUCGAUACUGGGAAGCUAGAGUAUGGGAGAGUAUGGUAGAAUUCCAGGUGUAGCGGUGAAAUGCGUAGAGAUCUGGAGGAAUACCGAUGGCGAAGGCAGCCAUUUGGCCUAAUACUGACGCUGAGGUACGAGAGCAUGGGGAGCAAACAGGAUUAGA